Molecule: RNA transcript, 1681 nt
Organism: Zea mays
Lineage: Eukaryota; Viridiplantae; Streptophyta; Magnoliopsida; Poales; Poaceae
Exons: 8
Source: RefSeq, a predicted model, not a curated record
CGGUCGACGUCCUCGACAGUUCCGUCCGUGGCAAACCUGCAGGGCAUGGCCAGGCCGUCGGGCAUCAACAUGGCCUCUUUCUCCGCCGUGUCCAAUUCCGGAGGCGCGUGGAGGGUUUUUUUAUAUAUCUUUAUGGUUUUCUUGGUUACAGGGAGGAGGAAGAAGAAUAGGCCGGUGAGGGUGUUCCCGACGGACAAGGGGACGCUCUGGAAGACACGAUCCGCCGAUGGCCACGCUGAGUCCUGGGGUAGAUUGAUUUCGCAGUCUAGAUUGGUGAGGAGAUUUGUAUGGUCAGAAAGGGUGAAGGUUCCAUGGCCAGUUUUAAAGAAAGAGGUGCUUCUACACUAUUUUGAAUUGGAAUAUCUUAAAGAUGUCGUCGUUUUGAUAAUGAAAAAUAAAUUGAUUAUGUGAAGGUAUCGAAUACAAUUCUUCCAAGAGAUAUACGUGUACUGGGUUGGUGUCAUGUUCCAGCAUAUUUUAAUGCAAGGUUAGCUAUGUUCCAUGUUUUAUAUUUUUCUUCUUGCAAGGAUAAAUGCACUAUUUUGCAAACAGGCAAAUAUAUGAUAUAUCUAUUGACAAGUGUUAAUUCUAAGGAGAUAAAGUGCUCCAUCGUUUUGUGAUCAGAUUAUUAUGUCCAGUUAUAUGAUGAUGAUACUUUGUGGUUGCUGAUUGGCACUUGAUUUUUUUCUCUCACUGCUAUUUUGCAAAUUCACCUGUUUGAGCCGGGAAUAUACUUAUUUUGGAAAGGGGACUUGGAUCUAUUGGUACUUACACUACCUUUGAUUUUUAUACUUGCCCAGUGAGUUAAGAUUUGUCCAUGUCUAUUGAGCUACCAACUUUCAUUUGCAAGUACUUUACAUCAAUAUGGAAAGUAGAAACCUUAUAGCUUGUGAAAUCAAAUGUGUAACACUUGGAUUUCUAUUGUGGUCAACUGAUCUUGCUGCAUCAAUUUUGAGAUGCGGUCGCUGGCGCUCAUGCUGACGUGGUCCGUCGCCACCGUGCUCACUCUCCUCGCCGUGGGCUCGCCCCAUCCACCACCUCAGCAAUGCUAGAACGGAAAACCAGGUUGUGCAAAAGAGUACUUGCGACUUUGAAGGUCUUAUGGUCAGUAAUAGAGGAUAUGACGAAGUACAUAUCACCAGAGGAUGCAAAAAGAUUGAUAUCUAAAGAGAAUGGAGGCGAGGUGUUCUACUAAAAUGCCAAGCUCCUGGUUGUCCUAUGUCUGGUUUCCAAGGUGUUUAGACUGUAUUUUGUAAUGUAACAUUUGGUGUGGUGGAUGCAAUUCCAUGAUAGCGAAUGGCAUAAGAUUUAAUGCUAAGAAGAAACAAGUUGGAAAUUAUUACUCUACCAAGGUAUAUACUAGAGCGAAGAGCGAACAACAAUCUAAGAUUGCAGCAAGAAAGGUCCAGCAAGAACCAGAUUAUGUACAUGUAUAUGUGUGGAUAGAACUAACCGCCGAUAUUAUCCUAAAUCUAAGCACGGUCACCCACAAAAAAUGUGUAAUUUGCUUCUUCCCAGACAUACGAAAUGUGUUAUGCGGACUAUGUUGGCUAUUGGAAAGGCAUUCUAAAUGCCGUCUGUAAUGUUUGAUGGUUACAAACUAUUGUCGUGCUAUGUAAUAUGCGGUCUUGACAUAACCGCUAGGUUUGUGAUGUUGUUGCAUGUUACAGCUGCAACUUUA